This 671-nucleotide long non-coding RNA is filed under the name Marmota monax (woodchuck). Lineage: Eukaryota; Metazoa; Chordata; Mammalia; Rodentia; Sciuridae. The record is from RNAcentral.
AUUUACCUAGAGGGUGUGCAUGCUGAGAGGGACUGAAUUAAGGGAACUGGCUCAAGCAUUGAUGGAGACUGAGAAGUCAUAGAAAAGCCAUCUAUAAGCAGGAGACCUAGGGAGGCCAGUAACAUGGUUUAGCAAAAACUCAAAGGCCUCUGAAUCAGGGGAGCUCAUCAGAAACUUUCAGUUGAAGGUCUAAGGCCUAGGAGACCCUAGGAGGCCUCUGAUGCAAGCCCUAGAGUCCAAAGAACAGGAGUUCUGAUGUCAUAGGACAGGAGAAGAAGGGCAGCAGUUUCAGAAGAAGAGAGGAAGAGAAAAUUUGUCUUUCCUCUGACUCUUUGUUCUCUCCUGGUCCCCAGUGGUGCCUACAUACAUCAAGAGUGGAUCUUUACCACUCAGUCCACAAAUUCAAAUGCCAGUCUUAAUCUGGAAAUACCCUUGUAGACUUACCCAGAAAUAAUGCUUUGCUAGCUCUCUAGGUAUCCCUUAAUCUAGUCAAGUCAAUAACUAAAGUUAAUUAUCAUACCCCUCUGUUUAAUUCCCAGGAUCUAGUUUGGUGUGUGACAAACAGCAGGUGUUUUAUUGAUUAUUUUUUAUGAUGGAAUGGAUAAGCAAAUUCCAAAAAUACCAGCCUUAUAAAAUAUGAAUUUACAAAUAAGAACUGAAAACAACUUGCA